AGCCUUGCGCGCCCUAGAUGGCCGAGGCCUUCGGGAUGAGGAAGCCGGUUUGAGUCCGGCGCGGUCGCGCCACUGUAAUCGACGCCAUGCCCCGGCGUCGAGAGCCAGACCUUCAUCCCAGAAGCUGAAGAA
RNAcentral lists this non-coding RNA (132 nucleotides) under Novosphingobium sp. Lineage: Bacteria; Pseudomonadati; Pseudomonadota; Alphaproteobacteria; Sphingomonadales; Sphingomonadaceae. The record is from RNAcentral.